GCUUCGGUGGCCUAGUGGUUAGAGCGUCCGCCUCAGAUGCGGGAGGUUUCAGGUUCAAACCCCGGUCGAGUCA
Molecule: non-coding RNA, 73 nt
Organism: Potamilus streckersoni
Lineage: Eukaryota; Metazoa; Mollusca; Bivalvia; Unionida; Unionidae
Source: the annotation of a GenBank genome assembly